This 434-nucleotide ribosomal RNA is filed under the name uncultured Lachnobacterium sp. Its description in RNAcentral is "partial 16S ribosomal RNA". It matches the Rfam family "Bacterial small subunit ribosomal RNA", at positions 341 to 792 of the family's 1533-position model. Lineage: Bacteria; Bacillati; Bacillota; Clostridia; Lachnospirales; Lachnospiraceae. The record is from RNAcentral.
ACGGGAGGCAGCAGUGGGGAAUAUUGCACAAUGGGCGAAAGCCUGAUGCAGCGACGCCGCGUGAACGAAGAAGUAUUUCGGUAUGUAAAGUUCUAUCAGCAGGGAAGAUAAUGACGGUACCACUUGAAUAAGCUCCGGCUAACUACGUGCCAGCAGCCGCGGUAAUACGUAGGGAGCAAGCGUUAUCCGGAUUUACUGGGUGUAAAGGGCGUGUAGGCGGGACUACAAGUCGGAUGUGAAAGCACGAGGCUCAACUUCGUGUCUGCAUUUGAAACUGUAGUUCUUGAGUGUUGGAGAGGCUAACGGAACUCCUAGUGUAGCGGUGAAAUGCGUAGAUAUUAGGAAGAACACCAGUGGCGAAGGCGGUUAGCUGGACAAUAACUGACGCUGAGGCGCGAAAGCGUGGGUAGCAAACAGGAUUAGAUACCCUGGUA